AUCCUUUUCUGGAAGAGAGCAGGAUGUAGCUCCAAGGUCCUGAGGAGCUAAUGCUUGGGAAUACUUUACGUGAAGUGAAGGGGCAGAAUCCUCAAAGCAGAAGCUCCCUGCCUUCUUAUGGUGCGUCCCUUGGGGCAGAAGGGAGGAGCAUUUUCACACAGAUGCAAAUUUAAACGAAGAUGCCCUGCAAGACUUAGAAGAAGCCAUAGCUUUGACCAGCAUUGCGCCCAACGGGAACUGUGAAGUGGCCUCGGGGGGGUUGGACACUUAAGAGCCCCUGGUUCGUUGCUGCUCUGGUGGGCUCUCUCAUCUCUUUCCGGAAGUAAAAAAAUUCAGGACUGAGAUCAUCCUCACAGGCUCCGUGAAGGAAGCAGCUAGAAGCUCAUCUGCUCUGUGAUAGUCUGCUCCGGAGCCAUUUUUGCAGAAGAGAUGCUGGCUCGUGCCCUUUCAUCGCUUCAUCGUUCUUGUUCCCUGGAGAGCCAGAGAAGCAGCUCUUUCUGUUCUUAGGCACAUGACGAUGGGUGCUCUCCUCACAAAAAGGAUGCCAUUGGAGUUCUCGAGUCUCCCAUUGGAAGAGGCACCGUAUUUUUCCACAGGUUGUGGUGGGUGUCGUACAAGGGAAACAUCAGCAUGUCAUUCUUGCCAGAUCUGACUUCUGUUUCAACUUGUCUGCUUCGUUCAAGGAUCACUGUCUUUAGAAAUCAUCUGCAGGAUGAGAAAUCUUUAAGCUUGGAAGGAAAAGAGGAACAGUUGCUGGUGUUUUGGAAAACUUUCCCCUUUAUUCUGUCCCUGAAUGUGGUUUCUGGUGGCAAAGAAAUUCUGCUGCACUCUUAAUGAAGGUACCCCAGCCAGUGUUGUCCAAACUUGGCCACUUUAAGAUGAGUGGACUUCAACUCCCAGA
Molecule: non-coding RNA, 901 nt
Organism: Python bivittatus (Burmese python)
Lineage: Eukaryota; Metazoa; Chordata; Lepidosauria; Squamata; Pythonidae
Source: RefSeq, a predicted model, not a curated record